GUAGCCUAGUGGGUAGAGCGUUGGGCCAGUAACCAGCAGGUAGCCUAGUGGUUAGAGCGUUGGGCCAGUAACCAGCAGGUAGCCUAGUGGUUAGAGCGUUGGGCCAGUAACCAGCAGGUAGCCUAGUGGUUAGAGCGUUGGGCCAGUAACCAGCAGGUAGCCUAGUGGUUAGAGCGUUGGGCCAGUAACCAGCAGGUAGCCUAGUGGUUAGAGCGUUGGGCCAGUAACCAGCAGGUAGCCUAGUGGUUAGAGUGUUGGGCCAGUAACCAGCAGGUAGCCUAGUGGUUAGAGCGUUGGGCCAGUAACCAGCAGGUAGCCUAGUGGUCAGAGUGUUGGGCCAGUAACCAGCA
Molecule: long non-coding RNA, 350 nt
Organism: Oncorhynchus keta (chum salmon)
Lineage: Eukaryota; Metazoa; Chordata; Actinopteri; Salmoniformes; Salmonidae
Exons: 3
Source: RefSeq, a predicted model, not a curated record